UUCUUUAAAAAAGAAAAGGUCACUCAAAAUUGAGUGACCUUUUUAUUUUUCA
Molecule: unclassified non-coding RNA, 52 nt
Filed under: Tenacibaculum jejuense
Lineage: Bacteria; Pseudomonadati; Bacteroidota; Flavobacteriia; Flavobacteriales; Flavobacteriaceae
Description: HIV_FE
Source: RNAcentral